GUGGGGAAUAUUGCACAAUGGGGGAAACCCUGAUGCAGCGACGCCGCGUGGAGGAAGAAGGUCUUCGGAUUGUAAACUCCUGUUGUUGAGGAAGAUAAUGACGGUACUCAACAAGGAAGUGACGGCUAACUACGUGCCAGCAGCCGCGGUAAAACGUAGGUCACAAGCGUUGUCCGGAAUUACUGGGUGUAAAGGGAGCGCAGGCGGGAAGACAAGUUGGAAGUGAAAUCUAUGGGCUCAACCCAUAAACUGCUUUCAAAACUGUUUUUCUUGAGUAGUGCAGAGGUAGGCGGAAUUCCCGGUGUAGCGGUGGAAUGCGUAGAUAUCGGGAGGAACACCAGUGGCGAAGGCGGCCUACUGGGCACCAACUGACGCUGAGGCUCGAAAGUGUGGGUAGCAAACAGGAUUAGAUACCCCGGUAGUCC
Molecule: ribosomal RNA, 425 nt
Filed under: uncultured bacterium
Lineage: Bacteria
Description: partial 16S ribosomal RNA
Rfam family: Bacterial small subunit ribosomal RNA
Source: RNAcentral